UUCUCCCUACGGGAGGCAGCAGUGGGGAAUAUUGGGCAAUGGGCGCAAGCCUGACCCAGCAACGCCGCGUGAAGGAAGAAGGCCCUCGGGUUGUAAAUUUCUUUUAUUCGGGACGAAACAAAUGACGGUACCGAAUGAAUAAGCCACGGCUAACUACGUGCCAGCAGCCGCGGUAAUACGUAGGUGGCAAGCGUUAUCCGGAUUUACUGGGUGUAAAGGGCGUGUAGGCGGGAGAGCAAGUCAGAAGUGAAAUUCCAGGGCUCAACCCUGGCACUGCGUUUGAAAC
Molecule: ribosomal RNA, 286 nt
Filed under: uncultured bacterium
Lineage: Bacteria
Description: partial 16S ribosomal RNA
Rfam family: Bacterial small subunit ribosomal RNA
Source: RNAcentral